Molecule: ribosomal RNA, 996 nt
Filed under: Oscillatoria salina
Lineage: Bacteria; Bacillati; Cyanobacteriota; Cyanophyceae; Oscillatoriales; Oscillatoriaceae
Description: partial 16S ribosomal RNA
Source: RNAcentral
GCCACCCAUUGCUGNGUCNCCCAUCUGGGGCGGCAUGAAAGUUUGCUCCUACUUACUAAUGAAUCCCUGUCGAAUCUGCGUUAACAGAUGAUAAGAUGCACCGGGUUUCCUCCGACGUCAGACGGCGGCGGGUUGAACANCAUACUGAUAAUCCACUCUGAAUGAUGGGGAUAACUGUUGAAACCGAAGGCUAGUUCUCGAUAUUUGUAGGGUGAAAGGGCAAGCUUCCUAUUGAAUACCUCCUCUCAAAUUAGUUACCUGGGAGGUAAAAACCUGCCCAAGGUAACUGUCGGUAGUUGGUCUGAAAUGACGAGCAGCCAUACUGUUACUGAGAGACUGCGCAGAUUGCCCCUGGAGGCUGCACUGGGGAAUUUGCCACAAGNUGUCUACUGCGUGACAGAACAAAAGGCGGAGGCCCCCACGAAGGCCCUGGGGUUAUACACUCCUUUCCCCGGGAAACAACAUNUGUAUGUUCCCGNGGCAGAAAAUCCCNCCNNUNCUUCCGUGGUGCCAUCCCCUAAAUUACCAAGACGGCAAUCCGUUAUUNGGAAUUAUCUGUCCNGUAAUAGGUGUACCUCAGUGUGGAGGCAUCCGCUCUCCAUUCUCGCGUGGGGCCCUUCCCCCCGAAGCGGUUGUGGAAAUUGAACAGUUGGAGUGUGGAACGGGCCCAGGGAAUUCNCAUGUAGCGGUGAAGUGGGAUCAGNUNGGAAAGAACNNCCUCUGCNACNCCCUGUGCUUAUGCCGAUUUAAAGUAAGGCCUUAUACCUCUGGCACGCUACGGGAUGAUUAACCCUGGGUGCUACUCUAACGUAUCGAACUAGGUGGGCCUACAAUUACCCGGACCUUGCAGAUUACGCCCUCUUAUCCGCUUGGGAAUUGCAGCCAACGGAACUCCAUGAAUUGGUGGGGGCCACCCCCCUAGAAUAGUUUUUCAAAAAGUCAAAUUAGCGCUUGAAAUGGGCCCCGAAUCGGGGUCUAAUUCCCAGGGCGUGGUGG